This 284-nucleotide ribosomal RNA is filed under the name uncultured diatom. RNAcentral describes it as "partial 18S ribosomal RNA". It matches the Rfam family "Eukaryotic small subunit ribosomal RNA", at positions 598 to 888 of the family's 1831-position model. Lineage: Eukaryota; Bacillariophyta. The record is from RNAcentral.
CGUAUAUUAAAGUUGUUGCAGUUAAAAAGCUCGUAGUUGGAUUUGUGGAUGGUCUUGAGGUCCACGUUUUGCGUUGGUACUAUUGAGAUUGUCCAUCCUUGGGUGGAAUCUGUGUGGCAUUCGGUUGUCGCGCAGGGGAUGCCCAUCGUUUACUGUGAAAAAAUCAGCGNGUUCCAAGCAGGCUUAUGCCGUUGAAUGUAUUAGCAUGGAAUAAUGAGAUAGGACCUCGGUACUAUUUUGUUGGUUUGCGCACUGGGGUAAUGAUUAAUAGGGACAGUUGGGGG